CACGUAGUUAGCCGGAGCUUAUUCUACAGGUACUGUCAUUAUCUUCCCUGUCUAAAGCAGUUUACAAUCCGAAAACCUUCUUCCUGCACGCGGCGUCACUGCGUCAGAGUUUCCUCCAUUGCGCAAUAUUCCCGACUGCUGCCUCCCGUAGGAGUCUGGGCCGUAUCUCAGUCCCAAUGUGGCCGUUCAACCCCUCAGUCCGGCUACUGAUCGUCGACUUGGUAGGCCGUUACCCCACCAACUAUCUAAUCAGACGCAAGCCCAUCUAUCAGCGGAUUGCUCUUUCCUUCGUUACAUGCGUAACUCAAGGCAUAUGCGGUAUUAGCAGUCAUUUCAACUGUUGUUCCCCUCUGAUAGGCAGGUUGCUUACGUGUUACUCACCAGUCCGCCACUAACCGCUCCAAUAGUAAACUAAUGGUUAAGUCCGUUCGACUUGCAUGUCUUAUGUGCGCCGCCAGCGUUUAUCCUGAGCAGGAUCAAACUCU
RNAcentral lists this ribosomal RNA (485 nucleotides) under uncultured bacterium. RNAcentral's name for it is "partial 16S ribosomal RNA". The record is from RNAcentral.